CCCUGUAUGCCUUGGCGUUGGAGUUUCGUACCAAGGUACCCGUAAGUCGUACCAGGGUACCCGUAGAGUUUGAUCUUGGCUCGGCUGAGUAAUGUCUGGGAAACUGCCUGAUGGAGGGGGAUAACUACUGGAAACGGUAGCUAAUACCGCAUAAUGUCGCAAGACCAAAGUGGGGGACCUUCGGGCCUCAUGCCAUCAGAUGUGCCCAGAUGGGAUUAGCUAGUAGGUGGGGUAACGGCUCACCUAGGCGACGAUCCCUAGGUGGUCUGAGAGGAUGACCAGCCACACUGGAACUGAGACACGGUCCAGACGCCUACGGGAGGCAGCAGUGGGGAAUAUUGCACAAUGGGAGGCAAGCCUGAUGCAGCCAUGCCGGGGGUGUGAAGAAGGCCUUCGGGUUGUAAAGCACUUUCAGCGGGAAGGAAGGCGGUGAGGUUAAAAACCUCAUCGAUUGACGUUAC
This 461-nucleotide ribosomal RNA is filed under the name Klebsiella sp. HPC845. Its description in RNAcentral is "bacterial SSU rRNA". It matches the Rfam family "Bacterial small subunit ribosomal RNA", at positions 1 to 478 of the family's 1533-position model. The record is from RNAcentral. Lineage: Bacteria; Pseudomonadati; Pseudomonadota; Gammaproteobacteria; Enterobacterales; Enterobacteriaceae.